UGCAGGUACUGGUUGAAUAAGGACCGGCUAAUUCCGUGCCAGCAGCCGCGGUAAUACGGAAGGUCCGAGCGUUAUCCGGAUUUAUUGGGUUUAAAGGGUGCGCAGGCGGGGAGCCAAGUCAGCCGUCAAAUCGCGGAGCUCAACUCCGUCCAGCGGUUGAAACUGGUUCUCUUGAGUGCGGCAGAGGAAGGUGGAAUUCGUGGUGUAGCGGUGAAAUGCAUAGAUAUCACGAAGAACUCCGAUUGCGAAGGCAGCCUUCUGGGCCGUAACUGACGCUCAUGCACGAAGGUGUGGGUAUCAAACAGGAUUAGAUACCCUG
This 319-nucleotide ribosomal RNA is filed under the name uncultured bacterium. RNAcentral's name for it is "bacterial SSU rRNA". It matches the Rfam family "Bacterial small subunit ribosomal RNA", at positions 470 to 789 of the family's 1533-position model. The record is from RNAcentral.